AGCAGCCGCGGUAAUUCCAGCCCCAAUAGCGUAUAUUAAAGUUGUUGCAGUUAAAAGCUCGUAGUUGAAUUUCGGGAUCAAUAUAUUGGUCAUGCUUAGGUAUGUACUGGUAUUAUUGAUUUCUCCCUUCUGAAGAACCAUGAUGUCAUUAAUUUGAUGUCGUGGGGAAUCAGGACUGUUUGAAAAAUUAGAGUGUUUAAAGCAGGCUUUCGCUUGAAUACAUUAGCAUGGAAUAAUGAAAUAGGACGUUUGAUUCUAUUUUGUUGGUUUCUAGGAUCGACAUAAUGAUUAAUAGGGAUAGUUGGGGGCAUUAGUAUUCAAUUGUCAGAGGUGAAAUUCUUGGAUUUAUUGAAGACUAACUACUGCGAAAGCAUUUGCCAAGGAUGUUUUCAUUAAUCAAGAACGAAAGUUAGGGAUCGAAGACGAUCAGAUACCGUCGUAGUCUUAACC
This 450-nucleotide ribosomal RNA is filed under the name uncultured Glomeromycotina. Its description in RNAcentral is "SSU rRNA". It matches the Rfam family "Eukaryotic small subunit ribosomal RNA", at positions 569 to 1031 of the family's 1831-position model. The record is from RNAcentral. Lineage: Eukaryota; Fungi; Glomeromycota.